RNAcentral lists this ribosomal RNA (1212 nucleotides) under Triticum aestivum (bread wheat). Its description in RNAcentral is "partial small subunit ribosomal RNA". Lineage: Eukaryota; Viridiplantae; Streptophyta; Magnoliopsida; Poales; Poaceae. The record is from RNAcentral.
AUGUGGCCCGGCUGCGGCGGCCGCUUCUACUGGGCGCCCGCGCCGCCGUCCGGGGCGCGGGGCGUCGUGGUCGUGUUCGCGUGGGUGUGGAGCGACGAGGCGCAGCUGCGCCCGUUCGUCGAGCUCUACGCCUCGCUCGGCUGGCGCUGCCUCGUCUGCCACCCCGACCUCGUGUCGCUGUAUCUCUCUGAGAAAGCGGCAACAUUGGCAUGUGGUGUUAUUAGUGAGCUGGCAAAGGAAUUGAAAGUAAAGCCAUUGCCAACUGUGCUUGCUUCUUUUUCUGGUGGCUCAAAGGGAUGCAUGUACAAGGUUAUUCAGUUACUAGACGGAAGAUGUGAAGGAGAUGCAAUGAUGAAGGACUAUCGGUUAGUUAGAAAUUGUAUCUCUGGCCAAAUUUAUGACUCUGGCCCAGUGGAUUUUGUGAGCGAUGUGGGCACACAGUUUCUUCAAAAUCCUGUGAUUGGCACUUCAUCUCAACCAUCCAUGCUACGUUCCUUCAUGGCAAAGGCUCUGGCGUCUGGAAUGGAUACUCUCUUCCCAAGCAGAAUUGAAGCUCAGCGUGCAGAAUAUUGGCACACGCUAUACUCAUCAGCAGGGUUGGGUUCAGUUCUUAUAUUUUGCUCGGAAGGUGAUGAUCUUGCUCCAUGCCAUGUUGUCUGUGGUUUCGCCAGGCGUUUGGUCGAACUAGGCACAGAUGUUAAAGUAAUCAAAUGGAGUGAUUCCCCUCAUACUGGCCAUUACAAGUUGCAUGAAGUGGAAUACAGAACUGCUGUAGAUGAUAUACUGAAGAAAGCUCUUGUCACCUUCUGCCACAGAAGCCAGCUGAAGGGCACUAGUGCAUGGGAUCAGGAGUACAAGAUAGCACACUGUGUGUGCAAUCUACACAAUGUGGCUGCCAAUUCAAAUGAGAGCCUGAGAAGGGUAGCCAACAGUCCCAGCGACCAUUUCUUCUUGCCAAGUUCAAAGGACCAUCAUGAUUCUAGGGAACCAGAUUCUCUGAUUGAGGAGCAGAAACGGUCACUACCCUAUCCAGCCAGGAUGGAGCCUCAAGGAGUCCUUGGCCAAAUUAUGUUUGAUGUUUGUGUUCCGAAAAAUGUUGAAGGAUGGGACAUCAAGCCAACAGUGUCUCCGAAUGGACGACCAACAUUGGCUUCUGCACGGCAACUGGGUCCGUUCAAUCCCAUCAAGUACCUCCGCCGUUCAAGGCUAUAG